This 253-nucleotide ribosomal RNA is filed under the name uncultured bacterium. RNAcentral describes it as "partial 16S ribosomal RNA". It matches the Rfam family "Bacterial small subunit ribosomal RNA", at positions 524 to 776 of the family's 1533-position model. The record is from RNAcentral.
UACGUAGGGUACGAGCGUUAAUCGGAAUUACUGGGCGUAAAGUGUGCGCAGGCGGCCAUGCAAGUCGAGUGUGAAAGCCCCGGGCUUAACUUGGGAAUUGCGCUCGAAACUACGUGGCUGGAGUGUGGCAGAGGAAGGUGGAAUUCCACGUGUAGCGGUGAAAUGCGUAGAGAUGUGGAGGAACACCAAUGGCGAAGGCAGCCUUCUGGGCCAACACUGACGCUCAUGCACGAAAGCGUGGGGAGCAAACAGG